Molecule: ribosomal RNA, 253 nt
Filed under: uncultured bacterium
Lineage: Bacteria
Description: partial 16S ribosomal RNA
Rfam family: Bacterial small subunit ribosomal RNA
Source: RNAcentral
UACGAACCGUCCAAACGUUACUCGGAAUCACUGGGCUUAAAGGGUGCGUAGGCCGCGCGGAGGGUGGGAUGUGAAAUCCCCCGGCUCAACCGGGGAAUAGCGUCCCAAACCGCCGUGCUCGAGGGAGACAGAGGUGAGCGGAACUGAUGGUGGAGCGGUGAAAUGCGUUGAUAUCAUCAGGAACACCAGUGGCGAAGGCGGCUCACUGGGUCUUUCCUAACGCUGAGGCACGAAAGCGUGGGGAGCGAACAGG